Molecule: long non-coding RNA, 784 nt
Organism: Megalobrama amblycephala (Wuchang bream)
Lineage: Eukaryota; Metazoa; Chordata; Actinopteri; Cypriniformes; Xenocyprididae
Exons: 2
Source: RefSeq, a predicted model, not a curated record
CACGGAAGUUUCGAGCGUCCUCGUUUCAUUCAUUCAUUGACUCUGGAAACAAGUGUGAGCGUGCAUCAGAGUUUUGGUAUCACCAAUGGGCCCAAUUUUUCCUGUUCCAGAAGCCAGAAGUCCAGCUGAGAAAGCAACCUUUUUGCCUGGAAAUGAGUGAAUCGAAUUAUGUAAAAUUAAAAACAUUUAAAACAUUUAAAUGUUUAUGGGAACAAAAUGUGCUUUUUACUUGCCUUCAUUCUCUUUUUGGAGAGAUUCAAGCUUAUUUUGUGAAUCUUGUACUAGGGUUUUCAAAGCUGUUCAGAAAACACAUUAAUAUGAUAAUGUUAGAAUGUAUGAAUUGUAAAGUUUCCCCAUAAUGUCAUGUUCAAUACAAGCUGCAACAAUUUCCACAUUAGGUGACACUCAAUUGAUUUAUUCCAUUAUUCAGUUAUGAAUGGCAAAAGCUGUUCUUCAGUUAUUUUAAUGUUUGUGUAAUAAAAUGUGUAUUUUAAAUCUCUGAAAUGUCUACGGGAACAAAAUGUGCCUUAUACUUGCCUUCACUCUCUUUUUGGACAGCUUCAAGCUUAGAUUGUGAAUCUCGUACUUCGGUUUUCAAAGCUGUACAGAAAACACAUUAAUAUAAUAAAGUUAGAAUGUUGCUAAACAAUGAGCUUCAAAAGAAAUAUAAGUUGUAAUUUCUUUAAAAUACUUUAUAAACUGUAAAGUUUCCCCAUAAUGUCAUGUUCAAAAUAAGCUGCAAUAAUUUCCACAUUAGAUGACAAUAAAUCUUGUGGAAGUAACU